Molecule: long non-coding RNA, 6098 nt
Filed under: Gossypium barbadense (sea-island cotton)
Lineage: Eukaryota; Viridiplantae; Streptophyta; Magnoliopsida; Malvales; Malvaceae
Description: long non-coding RNA (GBAR_LNC019875)
Source: RNAcentral
UCCAUUAAUCACAACCCUUUUAGAUUUAACAAUUAACUCAAUUACCCACUAAUGUUGAUCAAGCAACAGCAAGCUUAAACAUGAAAAUCACUUGAAUGAAUAAACAUCAAAUUGCAUCAAACAUCCCUAGCAAAGUACCAAUAAUCUCAUAUUAGGGUUCCAUAAUCAUUCUAGCAUAUAAACUUUUAGCUCAUAAUCAUCAAACUAAAAAAAACUUCAAAAAAAUUUAUCCAUGAUUUCAAACAAUAGAAAAAACAAAAUAAUAGGUAAAGACAAAGGCGAAGAGAUGUGAGUCGAAUGUCGGUGGUUCUCCACAAGUUGUUUGCGUCUUGUUCUUCCUCCUCUUAUCUGCUUCUUUUCCGACGCUCUUACCCUGAAAGUUUUUGUUCUGUUUGUUCAAUCUCAGCGGCUGCCCUCCUAUUUUUUGAGAAAUAUGAUAUUUAUAUCCUCCCUUAAAGAAGAUAGACUAGAUCAAACCCCUUUCGUAUUCUAUUUUUUUCCUAUUAGAAAUGUUUUGGGCCUUUACAUGUUUGUCUAGCCUAUUCUUUCUGGUUCCCGGAUACUAUCAGCACUUGAUUAAAAGAUGGGGUAAGCUCAAAAGCUGAUGUGGAGCUCUUUAAGUAUGAAGUUUCCAAUUUGUUCCUGUCAGGUUUAAGGCUAUGGCAUUGCUGCAGCAUUGAGGCUUCAAUUGGUGAAAUUUAGCAUAUUCUUUUCUCCAUAUUUCUAAUGUUCUACUAGUCACCUUCAAGGAUAAAAAUUCACAUUUUCAGUGUCCAAAUUGGCAGGAAUACAUUAUUAAAAUAAAGCUUCAAAGAUUAACUACUUACCAUAAACAUAAUUAAAAUAACUACUAAAACACUCUCAAUCACUCUUAACUUGAAUGAAAUAAAAGCUUAAAAGUAAUAAAAUAACUCUAGUAAUUAAAAUAACUACUAAAACACUCUCAAUCACUCUGAACUUGAAUGAAAUAAAAGCUUAAAAGUAAUAAAAUAACUCUAUAUCCUAGAGUUAUCAAAUAUAAUUAAAAAUAAAAAUUACUACACCUUUUUGUUUUUUUUCUCACACGUUGCCCUAGAUCAUAUAUGAAAUCAUCCUUAUGAACUUUCAUUUUAUAAUCCUUCCCCAACUAAAAAAUUAUGCAUCAGUAGAGGUGUUCAUAGGCCAAGCCAAGCUUAGGCCCGAUUCAAACAAAAAUUUUAGUCCCAAGCCUAACUAGACAUGGCCUACCGAAAUGAUUCAUUUCACUGUUUUAAAAAUAAUAAAAAACAUUUUUAUUUAAAUUUAAUUAUAAAAAUAUAAAUUUAUUUUUAAUUUUUUUGAAUAGUAAAUCGGAUCGACCCAUGAAUAUCUCUACCUAUCACUCACCUCUAGCCAUCGAGCACUAAACUCAUCGUCACUCAAACCUCUCACUAGGCACCCUCACAAGUUCAAUCAUUGUCACACUUUAGUUUCCCCAUUUAUGCACUGAAGGCAGGCUUUUACUUCCCUAUCCAUCCAUUUGUGGGUGAAGUCUUCAACUACUAUGGUGUUGCAGCGAGGAACUCGUUGGAGAUUCAUGGUGGAUUAUCAUAGGGUUCCUCAUCCAUUGUACCAAACGAAAGGAGUAGCCCUAGCUAAGGGUUUUUUAGAACCUAUUUCAACUGUUGCAAGUAAAUCAAACUACUUAUCCGAGGUUGUUUUAUUUUGCCAAGCGUUAAGAGAACCCUUCGGUGGAAAACUUGAUGUAUGGGAAGGUUAGCAACAUGAGAUUGGAUCACCACAAGUACAUACUUGUGGAAUCAAAGUUUAAGGGUUUUGACUUUCCCAUUGAAUGGACUGUACCUCCCACUAAAUUGUACAAUUCCAAGCCUUUCUUUGGAGGUUACAAGGUUACCAAAAAGCAAUUCAAUAAUCUCUAGAAGGUGUUUAAGUCUUGUUUAUUCAAUGAGGGUGAGAACAGUUUUUGCAGUGUUGAUUUUGAGCUAAGGUUUGUUGAUGAUGGGUCCUAGAAUCCUCGUAACGAAUCGUGGCCCUUUGAUGUUGAUCACACUGUGGCCCAUAUCCUUCAAGGGCUAGCUAUAAAGCCUUGACAAUAUAUAAUGAUCUAUGGGAAGUGCUCAGACCAAAAGUGGUGGAUUUCAGAUGAUAUACCUUAGAUAUUUCCCCUUAUUUUCUUCAAGGGGAGGGGGAGAACAAUUGGAGUAGGGAUUAACACAAGUGUUGUUGCUGAUGCAGGGACCAUUCAACCAUUCUUUUCAUGCAAUCAAUCUCGACCUUUAAAUGGGGAAAUAUCUUCUGCAAACUUUGCUAUAAUUGAGAUUUCCCUAGACGAAAAGGAGAAGGGCCUCUUAUGUUAGAAAAAUCAAUUUAGAAAACAAUUAUCAUAGGUACAGUAGAAGUUUUAAAAAUUUUCUAAAACCAAAAUCUUUUGUGAAAUUUAAAGUGUAACCCUAACCAGAAUUAUAAAUGUGCUUUGUACGAGGUGGACUUAAGUUGAUCCUAGUUUUUAAUCGAACGGCCUUCUCUACUAUCCUCGUACCAUGAAUUGCGUCGAGUGUGGGCUCGAGCAACACAAACCAAAAACUCAAAAAAGAAACAGUUUACUUACUUUUAGUAGGUGAUCGCAUGCCAAUGUACGAACACUAAACAAAAAAUUAGCAAGAAAGAUAGAGAAUCAAAAGUGGCUUUGACUACAAGUGUGAUAGGAUAGUUAUAAUAUUAAUAUGUGUUACAAUAGAAUACACAAAGUAUUCUAAUGAUCGAACCCAAGAGAUUGUCAAUUGUACAUUUGUUUGUCAAAUUAAUUACAAGCUAAGCAAUUACUAGUCUAUUUGAAUCAAAAAUUAGUAGCGCAAACUAAAUAUGAAAAUAUAUUAAAGCUAAAUUCUAAAUUAACAAAUAAAAAUGCCAAACUAACUUUCUUCGUUCUUACUAAAAACAAUGUGAUUGAAAUGAUGAUCAAAUGAUUUGUUAAUUACUAACUAAGCUAAUAAACCUAUGUUGAUUAUAUUAUUUGCCAAUUGUCAUUAGGAAUCUCCUCUCAGUCUCAUCCUAAACUAAAAGAUACCACCUAAGCUCCCCUCUCGGUCUCACUUAGGCAUAUAAAUCUCCUAUCGGUCUCACUACUCAAUACAAAUGUAUCAAAGUCCUACACAAUAAAGUCUCCUACCAGACUCAUCUAUCUAAAUCUUUCACUAGAGGCAUCAGUUCUAGUGUAAUAUAUGAUUCAAUACAAUUGAACAAAAAAAUAAUCAAAUCAUGGAUAAUUACUUAGUUAAGUAACUCACUCAUCAAUCAACCAAUAAAAUGAUUCAGCAAAUAAUCAAAUUUAAAUCUCACGCAAGAAUUUUAACAAACACAUGGUAGGCAUAAAAUAUAAAAGAGAAGAAUUUGAGAAAAUGCUCAUUAAUAUAUUAACAUUUGAUGAAACCCACAAGCUUGAUCAUCUCCAUUAAAAGAGUUCUCGUCAAAAUAGAAGAAAAUCUACAGCCAAAAUCUAUUUUAAAGAAAAUAAAAGAAAUCUAAUCUAAUCUAAUCUAAUCUAAAAAUAUGAAAAGUAAAAAAAUGUUUAACCUUAAAAUUCUACGCCUAAAUACUUAUAAAGUAGUAUUUAUAGUCUUUUCUAACUUAACCUAACAAUGACAAUUAUGCCCUCACUUAAAAUUUAACUUCUUGUUAGACUGCAAAACAUCCUUCAUAAAUUUUGCCUCGUCAGAGUCAUUGUCGCGACACCCACAUUGUAAUGACUCGAUUCUCGCAAGUGUUAGAAAAGUAAGUUUCAAACUGAAAACUUUGAACCGAAAAAUUUAUGAGUCAAAUAUGAGAUUAAAAAAUUAAAUUAAUUAAUAAUUAAAUCAAUUAAAUUAGUAUAAAUGGUAAAAUGAUUAAAUUGCAUAGUGAUUAAAAAUGAAUAGAAAAUUGAUUAUAAAUUUUAUAAGCCCUUAAUAAGUUAAUAACCAAGUCCAUGGAAAUAAAUAUUCUAUAAUUAAUAUUAUGGUAGUGGAAUAUCAUGGCCUUCUCCGCUAUUAUUCAUUAAUCAACAUUAAAAGGCAUGUUCAGUGACAAAUUAGUGACAAGUUAGUGAUUUAUUAACUUAAUUGAACCACUAAUCAUAUAUAUAACCUUUAGUGGGGAAAAAAACAUUAUUUUCAUUCUCUUUCUCUUCAAACCGUAGGAAAAUAAAGAAGAAAAAGUAAAUUUAAUCAUUCAAGCUUAGUAUUCAUGCCUAUGCGUUAGAUUUCUUAACUGUUUGAGUUUUAAUUAAGGUACCAUUAAUGAAAAUUUUAUGAAAUUAAGCUUGGUAAAGGUAGAUUUAAGAAUAAAGAGUUAGAUUAUGUUAGUACUAAAAUAGAAAGUAUAUAAAAGUGUUGAAUUUUAUUAGAAAUCCAAGUAAACCAUAUAGUAAUUUUAUGGUAUUGGGGACCCAAUUGAUUAAAUUGAAUUUUCUUAAAAAAUAUAUGUUAUAGAUUGAAAGCUAGAGGCCUUCAGUGAAGACAUACGAAAUCAGAAUUCAAUUAGAUAAAGAGAACUGCAAACAAUGAGUGUUUCGAAUUUUAGGAUUUUAAAGGAUUAAAUUGAAUUAAAUUAAUUUCUGUUUGAUUUUGUUAAAUUUACGUUGAAUUGUGUGAUUAACAGCGCUUCUAUAAUUGUAUUAUCGAACAUAGGUAAAGACAACGCUGGAACGUCAAAAGUGAAAGAAGAGGAAAAGACGAAUGUUAUAUAGUUUCUGCGGUUUGUGCUUCUAUAAUUCAAUUUCGAUUUGCUUUCGUAGAUUGGUUACUCAUUAUAUUCAAUAUGACUAUGAAUUGAGGUAACUACUCUAUUUUAUCUGAUUAAUACUACGAAUUGAGAUAUAAAUUAGCUUAAUUCACCUCACUUUAUGGAUUAUCGUACUAUGCCACUUAGCCACUAGCUAGCUAAACUUCCUAAGUGUGUGUUUAAUCGUUGCCAAUUCAGCAUAACACUUAAUCUCCUUUGGGCUGGAUACUUGAAAUGCUCCAAGUAUUCCGUUAUACACUUACAAAUAUUACAAUUGAACCUGUCACACUUGCAGUCAUAGCCACUUUUAAAUCUUUAUAUUUUAUGUUAAUUCUCUACUUAGUGUUCGUACUCUGACGUGAAGUCAUGUAACAUCCUUACCUGACCCUAACCCUAGAGAUGAUCAUGGGUUGGGCUACUCGGUCUGGCCCGACAGCCUGCCCAAAAAAUGGGAGGGUUCGGGUAAAAAUAUAAGUCCGAAAUGUGGGUUUGGGCAAAAAAAAAAAGGCCCGUUUAGAAAAUAGGCCGGGCCUCGGAUAAAACUAUUUUAGCUUCGGCCUAGCUCGACCCAAAUUAUAUAUUAAAUAUAUAUUUUUUAUUUUUAAUCAAAUAUACUUUUUAAUCAAAUAUAUAUAUUAAAUAUAUACUUUUUUGGAAAUGGAAGCACCCACCUGAUCAAUUCGUGAAAAUAAACUUUGAUGCGGCAUAUGAUGGAAAUCUAAACCAACCGGCUGUGGGGAUUGUGGCGAGGGAUAGUGAAGGAAAUGUUCUCCUAUCGUUCACAGAGGUUCACAAACAGGUUGCUUCAGCUUUUGCCGUCGAAGCAAUCGCUUGCCGGUCAGCAACACAGAUUGGUAGUGACAUGUAAUGGGAAAAGAUCAUCAUUGAAGGAGAUGCAUUAUCGAUUAUUAAAAAGUGUAAGAUGAAGAGCCAUGACAGAUCGAUGAUUGGAGCAUUUAUCUAUGAUAUUCAUCAGAUAAUGACCAAAUCUAGUAAUAUUUCAUUCGAAUACAUCCCAAUAGAAGGGAAUAGUCUGGCACAUUCACUCGCAGAGGAGACAUUAAAGAGGAAAGAUGAGAUUUACCUGAUAGGUGGAGUCCCUGAGUAUGCAGAACAUCUGAAGGAUAGAGAUAAAGAGGACGGAAUGGAUUGAAGAGGAAACAAAGAAAUGAAUAGGCUAUAAUUGUAUAAUCAAAAGGGUUUGGGGAAAAGCCUCCAUUGGUAUCCGGGAAAUCCCAGUAAAGAAAUGGAAGAUGAUGAGACAGGAUGAGAACGGAUUGGCUUUUGAUUGGGCAAAAUAGCGGUGGAAUUAAUUAGUUGUCUAGGGUCUUCUUUUAUCUGUUAUAGUUUUUGAUUUUUCC